RNAcentral lists this ribosomal RNA (252 nucleotides) under uncultured bacterium. Its description in RNAcentral is "partial 16S ribosomal RNA". It matches the Rfam family "Bacterial small subunit ribosomal RNA", at positions 524 to 776 of the family's 1533-position model. The record is from RNAcentral.
UACGUAGGGCGCGAGCGUGUCCGGAAUUAUUGGGCGUAAAGGGCUCGUAGGCGGUCUGUCGCGUCGGGAGUGAAAACUCAGGGCUUAACCCUGAGCCUGCUUCCGAUACGGGCAGACCAGAGGUAUGCAGGGGAGAACGGAAUUCCUGGUGUAGCGGUGGAAUGCGCAGAUAUCAGGAGGAACACCGAUUGCGAAGGCAGCUCGCUGGAACGUUACUGACGCUGAGACGCGAAAGCGUGGGGAGCAAACAGG